This is a long non-coding RNA of Homo sapiens (human), 4552 nucleotides long. Lineage: Eukaryota; Metazoa; Chordata; Mammalia; Primates; Hominidae. The record is from Ensembl.
AACGAAAUAACUAGCAAAGAGACCUUGUUUCAACAUCAAAUAUGUUUCCGUAAGGCCAGAUUCUUGGGCAAAGUUGUUUUAGCGAUCUGGUUGCAACUAAGUAUUGGAGUUGUUGUGCCUUGAAGCUAGAAACUGCCUUGAAUUUCUACAUAGGGAAAUGUAAUCUAUUGCUUUCUUACAGAUUGCCAUUUGCCAGCUGACCUGUGACACAGCAGCAGUGUAUUACAUUUUCAAUGAGCAGUCUGUCUGGAGCUGCUAGUGGGAGAAACUGCUUCCUGGUUUCUAGGGGAGGCAGAUGAUGAAUAAAUGAACAAAAAAUAUAAUAAUGGAUAUGUAUUUAUAAGUGCUAUGAAGAGAAGAAAUCCAAGCAAGAAGAGAGUGAAAUGAGGUAUCCUGUAAGAACAAAUUGCUGCCUCCUCCAGGUGGAAAGGGAUCAAAUAUAAUUAAUCUGUGUGUGCCACACAGUAGCUUGAUAGUUUAAUUGAGGAAUGUUGACAUAUUGAGAGCUCAGCAUUACUUUCUGCUAUCAGCAGUGACGCAUUUACUGAUCACCUACUCUGAGAAAUCACUCUCUAAACUCUGGGGAUGCAGUUCUGAGGAGGAUACAGUUCUGUCUUCAGAAAAUGCUGAUGGAAAUAAUUUUAAUGAACAGUAAUGGUAAAAGGAGAUAAACGAAAACAGAAUCAAUGUGUGCAAAGUGACAGAAGUUUUAUAAUUGCUAAUGAAAAAGAAGAUUUUUCCAAAAGCCACGACUUAGAAAUGGACUUCAAGUUGUUUUCCCUGGUCACAUGCCAUAGUUUCCACAAACGCCACAUGAUUAAAUCCUUUAAAUAAUGCAGCACUUUUGGGUAUCUAAAAUAGAUGCAUGAAAGUGGUAACUUUGUCCAAACACCUUAAAUAUGUCUUCUUUUAUUCUUGCUUUCUUUUCUGACCUGGAUCUGGCUGCCAAUGCACAUGAAAGAAAUUACAAAAGCUUCUCAGUCACUGCGACUCAGGUUCCUUUUGCACUACAGCAUUUGUCAUUGCCAAAACAGCAGAGUUUAAUUAAGUGUUGUGAGCAGCCUAGUGAGAAACACACUUUAAAUUAAACCUCUGUACAUGCAGCUAUUGGUUCUUUACCUCCUGAACAAUCAGCGGGGUGUUAGGCAUAAAUUCCGUCUCUCAAGGGAAAUGUAGCUCCACGCACCUCUAGCGAUUCAUAAAUGAUCCUGCUUUCUCAGAACCAUAUCUUAUUAAAGCACAUUUAAUUAUUUCUAAGUUUUAAACACCGAUAGAUGAAGGCCAUAAUUAAUGUGCCUACCACUAAACAUUUUAUUUACUCUUGAUAUAUUAAUGGUAUUAUCAAGAAAAUAUGCUACAGUUUCAAGUUUAACAAAAUUACAUGGCAAAUUAUCUUUUGAUGCAUCAAGCAAUUGUUAAUAUAAUGGAAUAAAUUAUUUUAACACCUCAGUAGUAAUGGAUGGGUAAAAGAAAGUAAGCAUUUUAAUUUUCAGAAUGUUUUUGCAAUUACACAUUUCAGAAGACAGUUAAAUCAAUGAUCCAAGUGUUUGGAAUUUUAGAAACAGAAACAAAAACAAUUUAGAAAGGUGACUUGUAGGCUUUGGGUUUCUUACAUGCAAGAGAUGUAUCAAUGUAACUGAUCUCAUAACAGCAAAGUUCUGGUAAAAGGUUUGGAUGAAAAAAAUGCUGUUUCUGAAAAUUAUAUUUUGAUGUGCUCAGUCACACAAACUUUCAAAUUUAUAUUUUUUCUUAAAAUAAAAAGAUUAGCAUGUACAUUUUAUAUACAUUUGAUUAAAUACAGUCUCAUAAAAUAAUGGUGAUUUUUUUCUAAACUGGACAGUCUAUCAGUGCAAGUGAACAGUCAGGAUAAAUGACUACAUUCAUAAAAUAUUCUUGACUUGUUCAACAACACCAUGGGGCAAUUUCACACUCUGAAGGACAUUCUCAGUGCAGGCCUUCUACACAAAUGCAGAAAAGAUGAAAAGAUGAUCUAUUAUUCAUUAGAAUUAGGCACACAUAUUUAUCUCUCCUCCAUUAAUCUCCUCCAGAUUAAUGGAGGAGAGAUAACUUCUAUGUUUGGUAAAUUUCAAUAAAGUUGAUGCUGCUACAUGCUGUCCAUUGAUUUGGAAGUUCUUGCCUAGAACUUUUGAAACAAAGGAAAAAAUGUAAAGAUAAUAGCAAUAUUAAUUUUCAUACACUUAUUUAUCUAUAUUUUUACCUAGAAGACUCAUCUCUAAAAUCGCUGUUAACACUGUGAUUUUAGUCUUUUCAUUCUGUGCAACUUACAAGUAGGUAAAGUAGAUUUCAGUGAUUAUCCUUAAAUAUGCAAGAGAUACACACACACUAGUACUCAUUUGAAACUAGCUUGAAGUCUAAAAUAUUUCUGAAUUAAAGUAACUUGCAGGAUAUUAAUUGACUUAAUUUUAUAUGAUUUAUCUUAGAAACCUGUAGUUGUUAAUUAAAAUUAAAGUUUUGUAUGUGUUAUUUUACCUUUUUGAUAAGGGCUUCAAAGAGAAUAUGUAUGUUUAAUUAUUUUAGGAAUGUAUCCUAGAUACUAAUAAUUUAUGCAGUUCUUAUAAAAUAGUUAAUGAUUACUGACAUCAGUAGAUCUGAAUGAAUUGAUAACUUCACAUUUUUCUAUUUAUGUAUCAUUUCUCCGGAGUCCUCUCAAUGCUGUACAUGCAGUCCCCCCACAUGGCUAUUUAUCUUUUCUUCCACUUUCUUUACAGUCUCCAUUUCCUCCACUUUGUUUAUUCUCCAGUAUUCUCACUCUUAUUGCAAUUGAGACUGGCAGUAAAAAACAAAGCCAUAGGACAAAAAUCUGGUUUGGAACAUACAAAAUUAAAGUUGCUAUAUAAGAACAAGGGGAAUUUAGGGAAGUUGUAGGUCAAUUUGUUUAAUGAAUGGCAACCUCUGCUCGAAAAAUUUUCCUUUCAUAUUCCUAAAAUAACUUCACUUGCUGGUUUUACACAAGUGAACAUUUCACCAAUGAGAGAUUAAUUUGUUUUAAUAAGCACUCUCUUUAAAAAUGAAAAUACCUUUGGGAGUGUUUAGUGACUAAUACUUCUUACCUUAAUAUGAAUAGGUUCAAUUAGGCUGUGUCCCUCUAACCUUCUAGCUGGUAUCUACUGCCCUGAGGGAAUGGGGGUUUGGGUGGUAAAAAAAUACAUAGUCAUUAAUCCUAAAGCUUAUCAUGGUUUGAAGAAUAAGUUAUGGAGGAGGGGAGAGAAGGUGUUUCCUGUCAUUGUGCCCAAGAGCUAAGAUUCCCAGCUAGAUUUUCUUGGUUCAAAUUCCAGAUCUACCACGUUAAUUGUGUAGGAGUGGUCAAUUUAAUUAGCUGAAGGCGUCUUAGGUAAAAUAGGGAUGAUAAUAAUAUUGCCCAUUUCAUAGGGUUGUUUUGAACAUUAAAUCAGUAUAAAAUGGGUAUACAAUUUUCAGCACACAGAAAAUUUUUUAAAACGGUAGCUAAUUCUAUUUUACCUUUUUGGUGAGAAAAUUAUCAGGCAAUCAAACAUUAACAUUCUUAAGUCAGAUGAAAUAAAGAUUUUUUAAAAUGCUUAUCAUUUGGGUCCUUCUCCGGCCUAGCUUUUAACGCAAAAUUGUAAACAUUCCAUGGCAAAGCCUUGGCCUAGUCUCAUUCUGCGAUUGCUUCUGCAUUCAGUAUCAAGUAAUUUGUUGUUUAUCCCUUCCUAUUACUGCAUUAGCUCCAUAUCUUGCCUCAAGCCUGGUUUUGCCUUUUUAUAUUAUGUACCUUAAGGAAUCUCUCAGUUCCAAUGUUAGACACUGACAGUAGAGUUGGCAAAAGCUGCAGCAGGGGCAUAGAGAUCAGAUGAGUUUCGAAUUGAAAGGGGCUAGAAGGUUAGAGAAAUUCAGGGCUCAAAAUAGAAAAUUUCAAGAACCAGGACUUGAAAUCAGUAAUCUGCGGUAUUUCUGUCUCAAAGAUAGUACUAAAGUAUUUAGGGUACCUGGACUACAUGGAUAAACAUGAGCCAAGCUUAAGCCCUAAUCCAAACUUUGAAAAAUACACAAUUGUUCAAAACAAAUAAUGUGCUAAUAAAAUUUUAGUAUACAAUUUACUUCUGAGAAGUGCUAUAAUUUAAAGGACAAAGUCCCAAAUACUGAUGUUGGAAAUAAUGGUUUAAUGUUAUAACAUAGAACAGAAAGGACAAUAAAGUAAAGCAAUGGGGAGAUGAGGAAAUACAUGAGUAAGCUCCUGUAAAUUGUCAUUUUCAACCAAGAGUCAGUCUAACAAAUCAGAAACUAUUGUUUAAUAUUCUGCAUUGGCCAGGCGCGGUGGCUCAUGCCUGUAAUCUUAACACUUGGGAGGCCAAGGCAGGUGGAUCAUCUGAGGUCAGGAGUUCAUGACCAGCCUGGCCAAUAUGAUGAAACCCUGUCUCUACUAAAAACACAAAAGUUAGCCGGGCAUGGUGGCAGGCACCUGUAAUUCCAGCUAGUCGGGAGGCUGAGGUAGGAGAAUCACUUGAACCCAGGAGCAGAGGUUGUAGUGAGCUGAGAUCGCACCAUUGCAUUCCAGCCUGGGUGACAGAGCGAG